RNAcentral lists this ribosomal RNA (470 nucleotides) under Acmella minima. Its description in RNAcentral is "Paludinella minima partial 16S ribosomal RNA". It matches the Rfam family "Bacterial large subunit ribosomal RNA", at positions 1813 to 2561 of the family's 2925-position model. The record is from RNAcentral. Lineage: Eukaryota; Metazoa; Mollusca; Gastropoda; Littorinimorpha; Assimineidae.
ACAUCGCUCUUUGAAAAAUUUGUAUAAAGAGUUGAACCUGCCCAGUGAAUAUUUUAACGGCCGCAGUACCCUGACUGUGCAAAGGUAGCAUAAUCAUUUGCCUUAUAAUUGAGGGCUAGAAUGAAUGGUUUGACAAGAGUAAAGCUGUCUCUAUAAAAUUUAUUAGAAUUUGGUGUUUAGGUGAAGAAACUUAAAUGAAAUUGAAAGACAAGAAGACCCUAUCGAGCUUUAAAAUAAAGUUUUUAAGAAUAUUUGGUUCUAAAUUUAUUUUGAUAAUAAUUUUUUGGUUGGGGCGACUGAGGAACAAAAAAAGCUUCCUUAUUAAAAGUAGACUAUUAGUUUUGAUCCAAUAAAUUGAUUAUAAAAAAUAGUUACCGUAGGGAUAACAGCAUAAUCUUUUUUAAGAGUUCUUAUCGAAAAAAAGGUUUGUGACCUCGAUGUUGGACUAGGAUAUCCUGAGGGUGUAGAAG